GGAGAGAUGGCUCAGUGGUUAAGAGCAUUUGACUGCUCUUCCAAAGGUCCUGAGUUCAAUUCCCAGCAACCCCA
Neotoma lepida (desert woodrat) is the source of this 74-nucleotide transfer RNA. It matches the Rfam family "tRNA". Rfam says of the family: Transfer RNA (tRNA) molecules are approximately 80 nucleotides in length. Their secondary structure includes four short double-helical elements and three loops (D, anti-codon, and T loops). The record is from Rfam. NCBI's taxonomy places the organism in Eukaryota, Metazoa, Chordata, Mammalia, Rodentia, Cricetidae.